GUUGAUGAAAAAUCUCAAGCACUCACUGUGAUACGUUCAACAUCUUUAAUGGAUAUCCAUUACAGCUGCUUAACGUAUCACAGUGAGUGCUUGAGAUUUUUUUUUAAUUCUUUAU
Non-coding RNA from Pelobates cultripes (western spadefoot toad), 115 nucleotides. Lineage: Eukaryota; Metazoa; Chordata; Amphibia; Anura; Pelobatidae. The record is from the annotation of a GenBank genome assembly.